GAUGAACGCUGGCGGCGUGCCUAAUACAUGCAAGUCGAGCGAACGGACGAGAAGCUUGCUUCUCUGAUGUUAGCGGCGGACGGGUGAGUAACACGUGGAUAACCUACCUAUAAGACUGGGAUAACUUCGGGAAACCGUAGCUAAUACCGGAUAAUAUUUUGAACCGCAUGGUUCAAAAGUGAAAGACGGUCUUGCUGUCACUUAUAGAUGGAUCCGCGCUGCAUUAGCUAGUUGGUAAGGUAACGGCUUACCAAGGCAACGAUGCAUAGCCGACCUGAGAGGGUGAUCGGCCACACUGGAGCUGAGACACGGUCCAGACUCCUACGGGAGGCAGCAGUAGGGAAUCGUCCGCAAUGGGCGAAAGCCUGACGGAGCAACGCCGCGUGAGUGAUGAAGGUCUUCGGAUCGUAAAACUCUGUUAUUAGGGAAGAACAUAUGUGUAAGUAACUGUGCACAUCUUGACGGUACCUAAUCAGAAAGCCACGGCUAACUACGUG
RNAcentral lists this ribosomal RNA (497 nucleotides) under uncultured bacterium. RNAcentral describes it as "partial 16S ribosomal RNA". It matches the Rfam family "Bacterial small subunit ribosomal RNA", at positions 28 to 507 of the family's 1533-position model. The record is from RNAcentral.